This is a long non-coding RNA of Lates calcarifer (barramundi perch), 609 nucleotides long. RefSeq lists it as uncharacterized. The transcript is spliced from 2 exons. Lineage: Eukaryota; Metazoa; Chordata; Actinopteri; Centropomidae. The record is from RefSeq and is a predicted model, not a curated record.
UAAUUCUCCUCUGUUUCUUCCUCUUUCUCUCUGACUAAGCUUUAACUUCUCCCCUGGAAGUCUGCAGUCCCCUGGGGGCCAGUCUGUCUUUCAAUGUCCAGAAUAGGCUCAACCCAGGAAACAAAGGGAGAGGAGAGUGAUGCUCUGAAAGUAAAGCACAAGAACGAAGAGUGAGCCGAGGCACGUCGCCAGGAACAGGCGUCCUCCUCUGGGCAUCUUCAUCCUGAAGCCCGGCUCUGCUGGCGGAGCCCACGACCCCUCGUCGCUGCCUCGACACGGUUCAUACGAGACCACCCGGCGGAAGAUGCGAGACUCUCCGGAGAAUUAGUAGCCUAUUCAUUAAUUGCGGAAAGUGAAGAAUAACCACAGCCCAUCCAGGAAUAACGUUGACCGGGCUACUGAACGACACAUUCAUCAACGUUAGCCGUUAAUUUUAACGUGAGUGGGACGUAAAUCCAGGUCCGCCCGAUGUGGUCUUUGCCUGGUGUAUAAUAUUACGUUGACUUGAUAAUGAUGACAAAUUAAGAAAGGUCACCUUAGAUAAAACAUUACAUAAUGUUACACUGACAUGACAAGUCCUAAAGCAAAAUAAAAACUUAUUAAUAAACA